GUGCCAGCAGCCGCGGUAAUACAGAGGCCCCAAGCGUUACUGAGAAUCACUGGGUUUAAAGGGUGCGUAGGUGGCGCGUUAAGUCCGUUGUGAAAUCCCUUGGCUCAACCAAGGAACUGCUUCGGAUACUGGCGUGCUUGAGGCUAGUAGGGGUCACUGGAACUGACGGUGGAGCGGUGAAAUGCGUAGAUAUCGUCAGGAACGCCGAUGGUGAAGACAGGUGACUGGGCUAGUUCUGACACUGAGGCACGAAAGCGUGGGGAGCGAACGGGAUUAGAAACCCGGGUAGUCC
This 292-nucleotide ribosomal RNA is filed under the name uncultured bacterium. Its description in RNAcentral is "partial 16S ribosomal RNA". It matches the Rfam family "Bacterial small subunit ribosomal RNA", at positions 505 to 796 of the family's 1533-position model. The record is from RNAcentral.